AUGAGACAGGAGGCCGCCAGCCUGGUGAUCACCCACGAAGACGACCGGCAGCACCACCACAGCCGCCCGCCGCCUCCCGACGAGGAGGAGGAGGACACGGGCGCCGUGGCCCCGCCGUCCUGCGCGACAAUCCUGCUGCGGCGGGAGGGCGGCGAGGCCGAGGCGGGGGAAGGCGAGGAGCCGCUGCAGCUGGUCCCGCCGCUCAACUUCGCGAUGGUGGACCAGGGCGUGUACCGCUCCGGGUUCCCGGACGCCUCCAACCUGCCCUUCCUCGAGACCCUCCGCCUCCGCUCCGUCCUGUGCCUCUGCCCGGAGCCGUACCCGGAGGCCAACCAGGAGUUCCUCCGUGCCCGCGGGAUCAGGCUCUUCCAACUCGGAAUCGACGGCUCCAAGGAACCCUUUGUGAGCAUUCCCGAAGACACAAUCCGCGAGGCUCUGAAAGUUGUUCUAGACACAAGAAACCACCCGGUGCUUAUUCACUGCAAGCGUGGAAAGCAUCGAACUGGCUGUGUUGUUGGAUGCUUGAGGAAACUGCAGCGCUGGUGUCUAACAUCAGUAUUUGACGAAUACCAGCGUUUUGCUGCUGCGAAAGCAAGAGUUUCUGAUCUAAGGUUUAUUGAGCUAUUCGACAUCUCAAGCUUAAAGCAUUUACCAGCGUCUUUCUCAUGUUGA
This 672-nucleotide ribosomal RNA is filed under the name Triticum aestivum (bread wheat). Its description in RNAcentral is "partial small subunit ribosomal RNA". Lineage: Eukaryota; Viridiplantae; Streptophyta; Magnoliopsida; Poales; Poaceae. The record is from RNAcentral.